UGAAAGGAAGAAAAAAAAAAUAGUUCAGAAAGCAAAUUCAAGCAGGUCAAGAACUCAGUUUGAAACACAGCCGGUUGACUUUCAGUAUUUGAAGUGUUUUUAUUCCUUUGUCAUCUUUGAUUGUUUUCUCAUUUUUUUUCUCCCCUUGACGUGCGUGUCUUU
This 162-nucleotide non-coding RNA is filed under the name Protocruzia adhaerens. The record is from RNAcentral. Lineage: Eukaryota; Ciliophora; Spirotrichea.